Molecule: long non-coding RNA, 213 nt
Organism: Quercus robur (English oak)
Lineage: Eukaryota; Viridiplantae; Streptophyta; Magnoliopsida; Fagales; Fagaceae
Exons: 2
Source: RefSeq, a predicted model, not a curated record
UAGGUGGAGCGGGCCAAAAUGCACCGCAGAGCAUGCCACACAUGUCCUUGCUGCGUACCGGGCGUCACUGGCUACAGUACGGGCCGAGCAGAUUGUAUGGGAGCCGUACACGCAUACGCUAGGCUCCCUACCUGCGUAUUGCACUGCUGGGCAGCAUAUUUGGAGGGCCGAGGUGCCGUUGAUAUUCUUUUGGAUAGUGGAGUGGCAUCAUCC